CUCACUCCAUCUUGCCCUGCUACUUAAGAGAGGUUGUGGGGUGGGAUUUGGCAAGCCAACAAAACCUUUUCCAUCUUUAACAGCUAUGGGUUUUAUUUAUGACCCAAGUGAAAUGGCAUGAUAAUAAUGAUAAUAAUACCUCGGAUGAAUAAACACCUCAGUCCUAAGGAGUUCAGAGAGCUCUGCUGAUACUUAUCUAAUUAAUCCUCACCACAUGCUUGAAUUUUAUCACUUUAAAACUAGAUGGAGAGGCUUGCCAGUGGUCUAUAGGUAAAGGAUCUGCCUGCCAGUGCAGAGAACAUGGUCUAGGAAGAUUCCACUUGCCUCAGACAACUGAGCCCAUGGCUCACAACUACUGAAGCCCAUGUGCCUGGAGCCUGAGUUCCGCCAGAAGUCACCACAAUGAGAAGCUCUCGCACUGCAAGAUCCUGCUUGCUAUUUUGCACAGUGAAUAUGAUCUUAGAGAACAAAGAUGAUGACAUUUAUCCCCAGAUAAAUGAUAUGCAUUUGCCUCCAUGACCAUUAGAACAUCACUGAAACGCCUCACACCUCCUCCUGUCUGCAGGUCUCGCAGUGGUAAAGAAUCUGCCUGUCACUCCAGGAGACGCAUGAGACCAGGGUUUGAUCCCUGGGUCAGGAAGAUCCCCUGGAGGAAAGCAUGGCAACCCACUCCAAUAUUCUUGGCUGGAGAAUCCUAUAGACAGCGGAGUCUGGUGGUCUAUGGUCUGUAGGGUCUAAAAGAGUCCAACAUGACUGAAGCAACUUAACAAUGCAUGCACACAACUGAAUGAGCUCACCUAAAAGAAGGUCUGGAGAAAGAAGAGAGCAAAAACUAAACUCUGCCAUUGCACAUUUAGAGACUGGUCCCAGGAUGAAUAGUCAAUGAGGAGAUUGAGGAAAGGCUGGCAGAGCUGCAGGAAAAAAAAAAAAAAAAAAAACCCAGAGAGUGUGGCUCUGUGUAUUCAAUAAAAGAAACAUAUUUUAAGUAGGACAAGGACAGAAAAUAGAUCACUGACAACCAGAUGGAAACUGACUGUUACAUUCAUUUUUAGUGGAGUUUCAGUAGAGACUAGUUGGAAUGGGUUAAACAGAGAAUUGGAAAUGGAAAAAAUGAAGAAAGCAAGUAGAGAACUCUUUGAGCCUUGCUUUCAAAGAGAUACGGCAACAGCUGAAGGACAAUGGGUCAAGGGAGGAUAAUCACAAAUUUGUAUGCUAUCAGAAUUAUUCAGGAGAGGAAUAACUGGUUAAGGAGAGAGAGGGAGAAUAACCACUAGAGCAGAGCCCUUAAGUAGGCAGAAGCUGAUGAAAUGCUGUGCCUGGCCAGAGAGAUUGCCCACAUACAAUGACAGAGAGAAGCCGUUGAACCCAACAUGAGGAAUGUCAAGGUGUGGGUUCACAUCCAGGUAUGUUUUGGAAAUUUGUUGGAGAAGAGAUUGGUUAGUUUUCUUUCUGAAUAAAAGAAGAGGAGAUGGAAUUUGAGGUUUGAAGAGAGAGUGAGGGUGAGGUCAUUGCCACAGCGAAUGAGAAAGUAAAAUUUUAUUUUAUGAUAUAAUAAAAAUGAGGUUCUCUUGGAACUUAAUUCCCAUUUGCAACAUUUUUGUAUGGCUAAUUAUUUCAAAUAAUGACAUUUGCAAUAAAGCCCAGAUUUCCAGGAAAUACAACCUUGGUGUUAUUCAAAUAAGUGGAGUAUUCCCUUCUCACAAAACUAAUAAUACUACACUAAUGAAAUUUUGCUAACAAAGUCUACCAUGUUGCUCAUUAUCUCCUAUUAAGAGAGAUAUUAUUGUAUCUAAUACCCUCUUUUUUAUUAAGUAACUAAAAUCCUAUUAAAUCAUAUAGUUUCCAUUUUGAAUUUUAAAAGUUCUAAUUUUUCAAGCAAAAAACAAUUUCUUCAUAUAAAGUAAGUUGGCAAUGAAAGAUUUAAAUAUGGUGAAAAACAUUUCACUGUGUUCUAAUACAGCAAGAAGAGGGAAAGAGAGCAAGCUUUUUUUAUCUCUUUUUAUCACUGUAUUUUCUGGAAAACAUAUUCAGUGUAAAUGUCAGGGAGCAAAAUACCCAGGACAGAAUUCCCUGUAAGUGUUAAUAAAAGAUUCAAAUAUACACAUGAAAAGUUCAACUUAUGUUUUAAAAGUUACUACUCUUUUGUUAUUAUAAUAAUAGAAUUUUAUAAACACAUAAACCAGAAUAAAUUCAACACAGAACUACUUCAUAGAUGUAUUUGUUCUGUAAAAAAAUACUAUUUUAUAAUCUCAUUUACUUAGAAACCAUCAUUUCUAGCUCUAGUUUGACUCAUCUCAUAUACAUGUUAGUGUUCUGUCCUCUUCCUACAAUCACCAUGGAAUUAUUUCAACCACAGAAUAUUGUUCAACUCUCUAGAUUAUAUGCACAUUCCGAAUGUGCAAAAUCUAGAGUAAUCCACACAUUUAAUUAGGACUCCUAAGUGUAAACAGUUGCAGUUGCUCAGGUUUCCUGGAGAGUAGGCUCCAAGACAGGAUUUGCUGGGAGUGCUCUAGAUAUUAACACUUGGAGGGGAAGGAAAGGAAGAGGCUGGGUUACAGUACAUUCUCAACCAAGGCCUCAUGGAAGCUCUAAAGCUAAGAUGGCCCUUAGAAAUCAUCCCCAGUGGGGAGAGGGAGUGAGGCCUUUGCUCUUUCUAGAACUUGAUGUGGAUAUAAGUUGCCCCUGUGAAGGGGGGUCAUUUAUUUGAUCAAGGCAGCUCUCUUUAGCUGAGGACCAUUCCCAGCAGAGAUCUAUCAGAAAGCAGCACUCCCAGAAGCUGAAGAAAAAGUCCUUCAGUCCUGAAGGAGGAUCAGGGUACAAUAUAUGGCCCCCCACAAGAUCAAAGAUAAUCUUUGCACCAAUUAAGACGAGACACUAUAGUUUUAAGUGACCAUUUCAAGAAUUAUAACCUUCAAGCAAGAACCUCGCACAUUGACUUGUAUCCACCAAUGGAAUGAGACAAAAAGAAAAGAGGAGUAACAGGGAGCUUCAAUGGUAAACCUUCAGUAAAAGUAAAACCACUGAUGAGAUCUCAGAGGGUGGCCAACUUUACUAGUCAAGAAGCAUUGACAUGGAUGAACUUAGCUUUUAGCAGAAAAUACCAGUUCACCAGCAGUGACACUGAAGAAUAAUGAAUGUUGGUAGUAAUUUUUUUAGUUGGAAGACAUUGUAUCUAUCAUGAAAGGAUAUUGUCCAUGAGAAAGAAAACUUCAAGAGCAGCAGA
Long non-coding RNA from Bubalus bubalis (water buffalo), 3223 nucleotides. RefSeq lists it as uncharacterized. NCBI's taxonomy places the organism in Eukaryota, Metazoa, Chordata, Mammalia, Artiodactyla, Bovidae. The record is from RefSeq and is a predicted model, not a curated record. The transcript has 5 exons.